Long non-coding RNA from Monomorium pharaonis (pharaoh ant), 693 nucleotides. RefSeq lists it as uncharacterized. The record is from RefSeq and is a predicted model, not a curated record. The transcript is spliced from 2 exons. Lineage: Eukaryota; Metazoa; Arthropoda; Insecta; Hymenoptera; Formicidae.
ACGUUCCGUGUCCACGGUUAGGCCGCGCGUCCGUCCGGUUUGCCGCUCGAAUGCGCCGAACGAUUACGUAAAACUGUCAGUGACCGAGCGCGGAAUGAGAAAUGGUCAGAGUAGUGCGUCGCAACAUUGUACAUGUGAAUACCGGCAUCUGCCUCACGUCGUGACUUGCCUGCUUCGGUGAAAAUCGGAGUCUGGAGUCCGUGAAUUGCAACAACGAAUUCGUCUGACUGCCGCUAGGCAAAUGCGACGCGGGACUCCGGAGACGCGAGUCUUCUUUCUUCGUAGCCGCUUGAUUCCUCGCGCACACUCCGCAUAAUGGUUCGAGCUUCCUUGUCCCUGCUUUGUCGUCAGUGGUCGUCAGAGGUCCGAGACCUGAAAUUCCUGCCGUCGCUACUUGCGACCAGUUGCUUGCUCUUCAGGAACGUACAUGGCAAGCGCCUGGAGGGCUCUACUAUUCUUCGAUCGUUUCUGUCGUGUGUCAUUAUUUACUAAUUGUAAAAAUUUAAAGAAAUGGCUCGUAUAGUUCAAAAGCGAUAAAAAAAUAGAGGCCAAAAUCGAACAAAUUAAGAUGUAAAAAUUUAGUGGAAUUUAUUAUUAUAAUGCAAAUUAAUAAUAACUUGUACGUUUUGACUUAUUUAGUUUUCCUCAGUAGUCUUACAUAAAUAUAAAAUAAAUUAAAACAUUACAAAUAAA